AUUGAACGCUGGCGGCAUGCUUUAUACAUGCAAGUCGUGCGGCAGCGCGGGGGCAACUCUGGCGGCGAGCGGCGAACGGGUGAGUAAUACAUAGGAACGUAUCCUGAAAUGGGGGAUAGCUCGGCGAAAGCCGGAUUAAUACCGCAUACGCUCCACGGAGGAAAGCAGGGGAUCGCAAGCCUUGCGUUUCUGGAGCGGCCUAUGUCUGAUUAGCUAGUGGCGGGGUAAUAGCCCACCAAGGCGACGAUCAGUAGCUGGUCUGAGAGGAUGAUCAGCCACACUGGGACUGAGACACGGCCCAGACUCCUACGGGAGGCAGCAGUAGGGAAUUUUGGACAAUGGGGCAACCCUGAUCCAGCCAUGCCGCGUGAGUGAAGAA
RNAcentral lists this ribosomal RNA (379 nucleotides) under uncultured bacterium. RNAcentral describes it as "bacterial SSU rRNA". It matches the Rfam family "Bacterial small subunit ribosomal RNA", at positions 30 to 412 of the family's 1533-position model. The record is from RNAcentral.